This is a long non-coding RNA of Mauremys reevesii (Reeves's turtle), 184 nucleotides long. RefSeq lists it as uncharacterized. The record is from RefSeq and is a predicted model, not a curated record. NCBI's taxonomy places the organism in Eukaryota, Metazoa, Chordata, Testudines, Geoemydidae. The transcript has 3 exons.
GUCCAGCCCACCUUUAAAGCUCCUCAUGGAAAUCCAUGGGUCCAGCCCACCUUUAAACAGUCACCAGAUGAGAGACUACACACCACCAGGGAUGGUCCCCGUGGCCAUGCCGUUUCAAAUUCCACCACAUGAUGUCUGGCAGGUAAACUAUACUGCAGUUCGGAGCCUUCCCGUCAAACUCUAU